Long non-coding RNA from Maniola jurtina (meadow brown), 930 nucleotides. RefSeq lists it as uncharacterized. The record is from RefSeq and is a predicted model, not a curated record. NCBI's taxonomy places the organism in Eukaryota, Metazoa, Arthropoda, Insecta, Lepidoptera, Nymphalidae. The transcript is spliced from 2 exons.
AAUAGAGUUAGUUUAAUAGUUAAUUUUGGAACGUUAAGUACAGGCAAUGAGGUUAGCGAAGGUCUUGAUAUUUAUCGUAGUAGCAUUUUUGCCUCUUUUGGUGUAUGGUCGAGGUAAAAAAAACCGCUGGGGUUGUGCCACCAAUGCAGAGUGCAUACCGUCCUGCCGUCGAACAUGCUCGAACUUCAUGAUACCGCUGUGCUUCAACAACCAAUGCUACUGCCAGGCGUUUGGCCAGGCAUUGGGCCAGGCGUUCGGCUACCCUAACCGAUCAAAUCUGGGUCCUAGGAAACCAGAUGAAAUGUUUGACUAUAAUGUUAAAAUAAAACAAAAGUAAAAUAAGUAGCUAAUUAUUUUUUUUAAAGUUUUAUUGCAAAGAAACAUGUUUGAUGACUAAAAGUAAAAAAAAAAAAAUUAAGUAGGUCCAAGGUACCAGUCUUUAAUACCACUUUCCUCAUCAAUCUAGACUUCAGACCCCUAGAACAUUGUUUAGAAUUUAGACUAAAAUAAAAUCGUAGGGCGAAGCGUAAUCUGAAUAAAUAGAAAUUCGAUUAGCCCCAGAUUGUAAUUCGUAAGAUUUUCGCCUGACCAAUGCUGUAGACCCUAAAUUGAUUAGAAGAGUGGUGUGGCACACGGUAAAAUUAUUCGCUUAAAGAAAAGAGGGUGAAAAGAUACCGACAAUGCAUUACAAAUAUCUUUUUAUAAUGCAUUGUCGGUAUCUUUCGGUACAGAUCAUGCGUAAAUGAGUUAUGGGCAAAUACUUUGUUGUAUGCACUGGUAAGUGAAUAAUUUUGCUGUGUGUACCUGGUAUCUACCUACCUAAUUAUUUUUUAGCUUUUAGUACAUUAUCUGCAUCAUUAUUAAGUCUAAAGUAAAGAUCUAAUUUUUAACCUGGUGGUUUUUUGGUAAAAUAAACAGAAUUACAACUAA